GGAGUCUGGGCCGUGUCUCAGUCCCAAUGUGGCCGUUCACCCUCUCAGGCCGGCUACUGAUCGUCGCCUUGGUGGGCCGUUACCCCGCCAACAAGCUAAUCAGACGCGGGUCCAUCCUGUACCACCGGAGUUUUUCACACUCUGACAUGCGUCAGUGUGCGCUUAUGCGGUAUUAUCACCUAUUUCUAAGUGUUAUCCCCCGGUACAGGGCAGGUUACCCACGUGUUACUCACCCGUCCGCCACUAAAAUGAAAUGAAUCCAACCGAAAUCUUCAUCAAAACAUUUCCGUUCGACUUGCAUGUGUUAGGCACGCCGCCAGCGUUCAUC
This 328-nucleotide ribosomal RNA is filed under the name uncultured Lachnospiraceae bacterium. Its description in RNAcentral is "partial 16S ribosomal RNA". The record is from RNAcentral. Lineage: Bacteria; Bacillati; Bacillota; Clostridia; Lachnospirales; Lachnospiraceae.